Apis florea (little honeybee) is the source of this 1535-nucleotide long non-coding RNA. The record is from RefSeq and is a predicted model, not a curated record. Lineage: Eukaryota; Metazoa; Arthropoda; Insecta; Hymenoptera; Apidae.
GAAUUUCGGGAGGAUGUUCUAUUGCUUCCGAUCUACCCCUGUUAUCUUCGAGCCGGCGAAAGAAAGGUUUCUGGCGAAAAAAAGGGGGCGAAUAAUCGGGUUAUCGAGCGUUGGGAGGAGGAAUCGAAAGAAGGAAGGAAGGAAAGAAAGAAAGAAAAAAAAGGCGAGUCGCGUUCGAUCGGUUCGCGGCGUGGAAACUCGCGUGGAAACAAAGAAUCGAAGCCACGCAUCACGCAACCGGGAAGAGGGGCAAACGCUUUUUGUACGAUUUUACGUCCAUGUUAGUCGAACCGUUUUUCAAAACCGUUUUUUAUAUAUACAGUACAUAAGUAUAAUAUGUAUACACGCGCAUGUACAGUAGAGACGACGAAACUUAAUUUAUUAUCAUUGUUCAUUUAUUUAACGGGGGACACCGUUCCAUCCCCUAUCUGCAAUUAUAUGUAUAUUCGCUACCAAGUACUUUGUCGCAGUCGAAAAUGUUGUUGCAUUGACAUUUAACGAGGAUCGAUGUAAAAUGUAUUGAUUAUUAUUAUUAUUAUUAUUAUUAUUAUUAUUAUUAUUAUUAUUAUUAUUAUUAUUAUUAUUAUUAUUAUUAUUGCUGUUGUGCAUCGCGGAUCACACAUGAAAUGGAAAAAAAAUGGGAGAGUUUGAUUUCGCCUUUCGUUUUUCUUUUUUCUUUUUUUUUUUUCUUCCUUCCGAAUUUUCGUUGGCCGGCCAACUAAUACGCUGAGAAAUACGAUGGAAAAUAACGAUUACUCGCAAAGUUCUGGCAAUGACGAAGAACGCGCAACGAACGAACGAGCGAAAGAUCUCUUUCCCUUUUUUUUUAAGAAGCAAAAAAAAAAAAAAAAAAAAAGAAAAAAAAGAAAGAAAAGAAAUAACGCGUAUACGAAUCGCGAGAUUAUUAAUUUAUUGUUGCGUUCGGGAGAGAGCGGAGGUGUCACGUUCCUCCCCUUCAAUCUCGCUAAUUUUAGCUGCGAUUUAGCGAUAUAGGCAGAACAGAAGACAGUGAAAAAAAAAAAAAGUCAUAGGCACUAGAGUACCUCGAAAGAUAACAAGUAGCACUCUUGAAAGUUAGCUUGCACGGACGUUCUCCUUUUCCAUCGCGCCGUCUUGCAAUUAAAACGAGGAGGAGGAGGAGGUGGGGACGGAGGUGGAGGUGGAGAGGUGUGGAUCGGGAGUGGAAUCGGCGGAUGAAUAGGAAAGGGCGGAAGAUCGAUCGUAUUCGAAGGGACGUGGCGGAUGAGACGCGAGAGUCGGUGAAUCGUGACGUGAUCGUAUAAAAGAGAGCGAAAAUCGGCCCGAUCGAUGGGGAGAACACCAGCUCGCAGAACAGGGUAACUAGCUCUAACAUCUAUCUCUUACAUCAACUUAAAAAAAAAAAAAAAGAAAAAAAUUACCGAAAAAAAAAAAUCUCUAUCACACUCGUUCACCUUAUGGUAUCACAGGUUCACUCUAAUCACAAAUGUCGGCCAAGGCUAACUCGAAACACUAUCACACCUUCGUACUAAUAAACGAUUUACUAUUCAAUUUCA